This is a long non-coding RNA of Fundulus heteroclitus (mummichog), 1034 nucleotides long. RefSeq lists it as uncharacterized. The record is from RefSeq and is a predicted model, not a curated record. Lineage: Eukaryota; Metazoa; Chordata; Actinopteri; Cyprinodontiformes; Fundulidae. The transcript has 3 exons.
AUGAAUGUUGCCGGAGGGAAUUUCAACCCAGCAGCAGCUGCCAUGUUAGCGCGUCCUCUCCUGUUAAUGCCGCAGGUAACUAACCAACAACCUAUCAUGUUAGCGCAAUUUGCCUUAUUGAAAAACCUGGUUUCACUAACUGUUAACGUUAAGUCAAUCUCUUCUCAUACAUUGCACAGAUGACCAUGAGGAGAGACAGAGUCUGACAGGCUCAGAGGGUGGCAGUUCUUGCUCCAGUUUUCCGCAAGCUUAUCCUUUCAGAGAGGCAGGGAAGAGUAAAAUGACCCAGGCCAGAGAAGACAAAUGUCACAGAGUAGUGACUAAGUUUGUGGUAAAAGCCAUGCACCCGUUUGCCACGAUAUAUGCCCCUGGUUUUCGAGGGAUGACAAAGACUCUCAACCCAAAGUACAACGCCCCAAACAGAGACAAUUUAACCAGCCACUUGAUCCCUGCUUGGUAUGCGGCUGAAAAGGCAAAUCUGAUUUCUGAGCUGGAAUAUGUGUUGCAGGCAGCCAUUAAUGCUGUUGGAUGGACAAGUUUUAGUCAAGAUCAUUACCUCACAUUAACUCUGCAAUAUGUCAGGGCUGGCUUAAAAUAAAAGACCUCAAAACCAAAGGCGUGUACCAAGCCCAGACAAAGGACAGCUGUGGCAGAGUAGAUUGAUGAGAUCUUGGAGGUGUAUGAUGUCAAAGAAAAGGUCGUGGCAGCCACUGUUGAUAAUGCGGCAGACAUGGAGGUAGCUGUCAAAAAGCUACAGGAUGUCAAGUUACCAUGUCUGUGAUUGUAUGGAUGAAGAGGUCCCACAUGGCAAAAGUGGUCCUCCAGGAGAAGCGAGACGUGCUCAACUAAGAAAAGCCGAGGAGUUUGGACUGUUCAUGCGGAGGCACUAUACCUUUCCAGCGACAAACGUCCGACUUGUGUUGAGAUGUUUUGCUCAUCCCGCAAAAGCUACAACAGCACUACAACGUGCAAGAAGAUGACUACCAUCACGAAGAGUAUCAAGGAGUACAUUUGAAAAGUUAUUUCUAAACGGU